RNAcentral lists this ribosomal RNA (301 nucleotides) under uncultured bacterium. Its description in RNAcentral is "partial 16S ribosomal RNA". It matches the Rfam family "Bacterial small subunit ribosomal RNA", at positions 509 to 809 of the family's 1533-position model. The record is from RNAcentral.
CAGCCGCCGCGGGAAUACGUAGGUGGCAAGCGUUGUCCGGAAUUAUUGGGCGUAAAGCGCGCGCAGGUGGUUUAAUAAGUCUGAUGUGAAAGCCCACGGCUCAACCGUGGAGGGUCAUUGGAAACUGUUAAACUUGAGUGCAGGAGAGAAAAGUGGAAUUCCUAGUGUAGCGGUGAAAUGCGUAGAGAUUAGGAGGAACACCAGUGGCGAAGGCGGCUUUUUGGCCUGUAACUGACACCGAGGCGCGAAAGCGUGGGGAGCAAACAGGAUUAGAUACCCGCGUAGUCCCUGUCUCUUAUAA